ACCAGACGUGGAAGUGGGUCCUUCACGAGGCUCCUCCAGGCCUGUCCUUCCCGGGCUCCGGCUGGCCCAGGCCCACAGUUCCUGGCGGCAGUUGGUGGCUCCGCCCUGCAUGGCCGGCACGUCAGACUCAGCACGUGCAAAGCUGAAUGCGUCAGUUUUCCCACGAAAGGAGAUCUUGUUUGGACACUCCCGGCCCCUCUCUCUCUCUCUCGGUUACCCAGAUGCAAAAGGCAGAAGCAGCCCUGGCCACCGUUCGUCCCCUUUGUACCCCGAGCAUAUACAGUUCUGGGGAGGAAGACCGGCCAGACUGUUCUGCAGGGGAAAUGUGAAGGGCAUAAGCUCUCCUCCUCGCCGC
Long non-coding RNA from Microcebus murinus (gray mouse lemur), 355 nucleotides. RefSeq lists it as uncharacterized. Lineage: Eukaryota; Metazoa; Chordata; Mammalia; Primates; Cheirogaleidae. The record is from RefSeq and is a predicted model, not a curated record.